This 306-nucleotide ribosomal RNA is filed under the name uncultured bacterium. RNAcentral describes it as "bacterial SSU rRNA". It matches the Rfam family "Bacterial small subunit ribosomal RNA", at positions 28 to 334 of the family's 1533-position model. The record is from RNAcentral.
GACGAACGCUGGCGGCGUGCUUAACACAUGCAAGUCGAACGAUGAAGCCCAGCUUGCUGGGUGGAUUAGUGGCGAACGGGUGAGUAACACGUGGGUGAUCUGCCCUGCACUUCGGGAUAAGCCUGGGAAACUGGGUCUAAUACCGGAUAUGACUUCGAAUCGCAUGGUUUGGGGUUGAAAGUUUUUUCGGUGCAGGAUGAGCCCGCGACCUAUCAGCUUGUUGGUGGGGUAAUGGCCUACCAAGGCGACGACGGGUAGCCGGCCUGAGAGGGCGACCGGCCACACUGGGACUGAGACACGGCCCAG